AGUGGGAUAACUGGGUCAAAUGGUGGUUCUAUUCCAAGUUUUCUGAGGAACCUUCAAACUGCUUUCCAGAGUGGUUGCACCAAUUUGCAGUCCCUCCAGCAAU
Molecule: microRNA precursor, 103 nt
Filed under: Marmota monax (woodchuck)
Lineage: Eukaryota; Metazoa; Chordata; Mammalia; Rodentia; Sciuridae
Source: RNAcentral